Molecule: long non-coding RNA, 261 nt
Organism: Gallus gallus (chicken)
Lineage: Eukaryota; Metazoa; Chordata; Aves; Galliformes; Phasianidae
Source: Ensembl
UGGCAUCAAGAGGAGUCUCCUCCCUCUCCUGGGCCCUACGGCAUGCCAUCCUGUGUGUAUGGAAACCAAGUUCACUUUCUCCUUGGCAGUGCUCGGGGUGUGGGGAGGAGAGCAGUGCUUGCGCUAUGGGGCUGGGUCUCCUCUUCCUCACCGUGCUGGCCAUGCUGGUCUCCUGUGAGCACCCAGAAGUGAACUGCGGGCGGCCCGAGGCGGACUUCAACUCAGUGGUGUAUGGCAAUGACUGGUGGGUGGGCUCCGUGG